This 492-nucleotide ribosomal RNA is filed under the name uncultured bacterium. RNAcentral describes it as "partial 16S ribosomal RNA". It matches the Rfam family "Bacterial small subunit ribosomal RNA", at positions 30 to 507 of the family's 1533-position model. The record is from RNAcentral.
AUUGAACGCUGGCGGCAUGCUUUACACAUGCAAGUCGAACGGUAACAGGCCUUCGGGUGCUGACGAGUGGCGAACGGGUGCGUAAUGCAUCGGAACGUGCCCAGAGGUGGGGGAUAACGCAGCGAAAGCUGUGCUAAUACCGCAUGUGAUCUGAGGAUGAAAGCGGGGGACCAGGCAGCAAUGUUUGGCCUCGCGCCUUUGGAGCGGCCGAUGUCAGAUUAGGUAGUUGGUGGGGUAAAGGCCUACCAAGCCGACGAUCUGUAGCUGGUCUGAGAGGACGACCAGCCACACUGGGACUGAGACACGGCCCAGACUCCUACGGGAGGCAGCAGUGGGGAAUUUUGGACAAUGGGGGCAAGCCUGAUCCAGCAAUGCCGCGUGCGGGAAGAAGGCCUUCGGGUUGUAAACCGCUUUUGUACGGAACGAAAAGGCUCUGGCUAAUACCUGGGGCUGAUGACGGUACCGUAAGAAUAAGCACCGGCUAACUACGUG